AGAACGAACGCUGGCGGCAGGCUUAACACAUGCAAGUCGAACGGGCGUCGCAAGACGUCAGUGGCAGACGGGUGAGUAACACGUGGGAACCUUCCUAGGGGUACGGAACAACUCAGGGAAACUUGAGCUAAUACCGUAUACGUCCGUAAGGAGAAAGAUUUAUCGCCCCUAGACGGGCCCGCGUCGGAUUAGGUAGUUGGUGGGGUAACGGCCUACCAAGCCUACGAUCCGUAGCUGAUCUGAGAGGAUGAUCAGCCACACUGGGACUGAGACACGGCCCAGACUCCUACGGGAGGCAGCAGUGGGGAAUCUUGGACAAUGGGCGCAAGCCUGAUCCAGCCAUGCCGCGUGAGUGAAGAAGGCCUUAGGGUUGUAAAGGCUCGUUUUACCAGGACGAUAAUGACGGUACCUGGAGAAUAAGCCCGGCAAACUUCGUAGCCAGUCAGCCGAC
Molecule: ribosomal RNA, 451 nt
Filed under: uncultured soil bacterium
Lineage: Bacteria
Description: bacterial SSU rRNA
Rfam family: Bacterial small subunit ribosomal RNA
Source: RNAcentral